UCUCCGUUGGUGAACCAGCGGAGGGAUCAUUAGCGAGUCACACUCCCUAAUACCACCGUGAACCUACCCGUAAGGCGCGUUGCUUCGGCGGGCGGCCCGGUCGCAGCCCCCUCGGGGUCGCGGCCGUGCCCCCUGGCCCCCCCCGCGGGGCGCCCGCCGGCGGCGCGCGCCGCGUCAAAACACACCCAGCGGUACGCGUCAGCCUCUGAGUAGAAACCGAAACAGUAAAAACUUUCAGCAACGGAUCUCUUGGUUCUGGCAUCGAUGAAGAACGCAGC
Molecule: unclassified non-coding RNA, 278 nt
Filed under: uncultured fungus
Lineage: Eukaryota; Fungi
Description: sequence contains ITS1, 5.8S rRNA gene
Rfam family: 5.8S ribosomal RNA (bases 230-278)
Source: RNAcentral